UGAUACUAGGCUCCCAAGGUCAUGCGUUUCAUGCUUGCAUGAAAAAAGCAUGACCUUGGGACCCAUGAAACAUGAGAAAGUAGCCCGAAUAGGGCGGAUUUCGAAUGUUUUUAGGAUUGCGGGAGCACAAAGUGCGGAGCAAUCCGUAGGUAUCA
This 155-nucleotide small RNA is filed under the name Muricomes intestini. Its description in RNAcentral is "Clostridiales-1 RNA". It matches the Rfam family "Clostridiales-1 RNA". The record is from RNAcentral. Lineage: Bacteria; Bacillati; Bacillota; Clostridia; Lachnospirales; Lachnospiraceae.